GUGGGGUUGUGGCUCAGCGGUAGAACGCUCUCCUCACAUGUGCGAGACCCUGGGUUCGAUCCUCAGCACCACA
This 73-nucleotide transfer RNA is filed under the name Marmota monax (woodchuck). RNAcentral describes it as "tRNA.Val". Lineage: Eukaryota; Metazoa; Chordata; Mammalia; Rodentia; Sciuridae. The record is from RNAcentral.